GACGAACGCUGGCGGCGUGCUUAACACAUGCAAGUCGAACGGAAAGGCCCUGCUUGGGUGGGGUGCUCGAGGGGCGAACGGGUGAGUAACACGUGAGUAGCCUGCCCUUGACUUUGGGAUAACGUCAGGAAACUGGGGCUAAUACCGGAUAGGUGCUCCGGCUGCAUGGUGGGGGAUGGAAAGUUUCGGCGGGUGGGGAUGGACUCGCGGCUUAUCAGCUUGUUGGUGGGGUAGUGGCUUACCAAGGCUUUGACGGGUAGCCGGCCUGAGAGGGUGACCGGCCACACUGGGACGGAGUUACGCCCCGGCCUCACACGGGCGGCAGCAGGGGGGAAUGAUGCUUGCGGGGCGGACGCAUGCUGGACGAACGCAGGGUGCGGGAUGAAUGCCUUCGGGCUGGAUGCCGCUCUCGCUUGUGCCGAACGGAGAGGGACGGUAAUGGGUGAAGAAGCACCGGCUAACUACGUG
This 468-nucleotide ribosomal RNA is filed under the name uncultured bacterium. RNAcentral describes it as "partial 16S ribosomal RNA". It matches the Rfam family "Bacterial small subunit ribosomal RNA", at positions 28 to 507 of the family's 1533-position model. The record is from RNAcentral.